CAUCGCCUUUUUCAUUUUUCAUGAGUUUUUGUUUCUCCUUUGUUUAUUUUUAAUCUUGGAGCCGUCAAAAAGAUAGCUAGGGGGUGAUGCCCCUUUUCCUCUUCUCUCCUCCAUUUUCGGUCGACCACCACCAUCAACCAUGGUGGCUCGAGCUAUGCCACCAUCAUCCGACCACCUUGGCCACCAUCAGACCAUCCAACUUUUGCC
Molecule: long non-coding RNA, 207 nt
Filed under: Elaeis guineensis (African oil palm)
Lineage: Eukaryota; Viridiplantae; Streptophyta; Magnoliopsida; Arecales; Arecaceae
Description: long non-coding RNA (EGUI_LNC010707)
Source: RNAcentral